ACUUCAGAUGAAGCUCUCCCAUUGACUUUGCUCAUCCUCUGGGAACCUGAGCUGCUCUGGGAACCCUCACUGCCCGAUCCUCCUCCACGGGCUCACCGUCCACUUCCCCGGUUGCUCGUCUUCUCGCCCAACACCGACCUUCGAUUUGAAAUAUCCAAACUUCCUUGACAACUGUCUUAAGCUUAUAUUACAGGAUGACCAACCCCUCUCCAAAGACGAUGAUCCUUAUUGAUACUGGAACACGCCAUCGCCACUGCAGACCAAGGGCUCAUCAAUACAAAAAUAAACUUCAUCGCCCCUGAUCAGCAAGAAGCAGUUACUGAAGACUAACCUUCACCCCUUCCCAAUCCUCUACCACUUAUAAAACAGAAAAGGGAGGAAUGUAAGAAUAUAUAAUUUAUCCUCCUUUUGCCCCAUGGUCCCAAGCACAUAAGCAGGUGAGAAUUAUGCCUGGGCUUGCCUGGGGCUUUGCUGGGUUUACCCCACCUUAUUUCUAAACAUCCUGACCCUCCCCCAAGGCAACCGCCCGAGCAGAUUCACCACAAUAAAAGGCACCACGCUGCUGCCCCCUUUCUGUCUGUCUCGCUGCUCUGUUUGUCUCUGUCU
Molecule: long non-coding RNA, 606 nt
Organism: Manis javanica (Malayan pangolin)
Lineage: Eukaryota; Metazoa; Chordata; Mammalia; Pholidota; Manidae
Source: RefSeq, a predicted model, not a curated record